CCUACGGGGUGCUGCAGUGGGGAAUAUUGCACAAUGGGGGAAACCCUGAUGCAGCGACGCCGCGUGAGCGAUGAAGGAUUUCGGUAUGUAAAGCUCUAUCAGCAGGGAAGAAAAUGACGGUACCUGACUAAGAAGCCCCGGCUAACGACGGGCCAGCAGCCGCGGUAAUACGGAGGGGGCAAGCGUUAUCCGGAUUUACUGGGUGUAAAGGGAGCGUAGACGGCUUGGCAAGCCAGAUGUGAAAGGCUGGGGCUCCACCCCAGGACGGCAUUUGGAACUGUCAUGCUAGCGUGUCGGAGAGGCAGGCGGAAUUCCUCGUGUCGCGGUGAACUGCGUAGAUCUUAGGCGGCACCCCAGUGGCGCAGGCGGCCUGCUGGACGAUGCCUGCCGUUGAGGCUCGAAAGCGUGGGGCGCAAACCGGAUUCGAUACCCGUGUCGUC
Molecule: ribosomal RNA, 440 nt
Filed under: uncultured bacterium
Lineage: Bacteria
Description: partial 16S ribosomal RNA
Rfam family: Bacterial small subunit ribosomal RNA
Source: RNAcentral